This is an RNA transcript of Salvia splendens (bonfire salvia), 1104 nucleotides long. It is a transcript of the gene named C-terminal binding protein AN-like, with no coding region annotated. The transcript is spliced from 2 exons. The record is from RefSeq and is a predicted model, not a curated record. Lineage: Eukaryota; Viridiplantae; Streptophyta; Magnoliopsida; Lamiales; Lamiaceae.
ACCAAACUACAUCUACAAAUUUCAUGAAAAUAUGUGAGGAAAAUGUAUUUAUCCCAAAAGUUAAGGCACCUAACGACAAAUACUAAUAUCUGCAGAGAAGAGUCAUCGGGAAAGUUGAAAUUUCAUCUCGAUUUCCAAAGAAGCAGCAGUUGACACUUGAUGGUGCCAAUCUGCUGCAGCAAUGGCUACCCGUAGGCCGUAACAGCUUCGCUCACCAAUCUCAACCGUUGCCGCUAGUAGUGGCGCUCAACUGCAUCUAAGACACAUCCGUCGAGCACGUGCCGCCGUCCUCAUCCACUCCCUCGCCUUCCUCCCCUGGCAGUUGAUCCUCUGCCUCGGCCUCGAUCGGCUGGUCCACGUCGACGUCAGCCGGUCGGACACUGUUAUGGCGCUCGUUUUGGGGCUACUGCGGCGCACGUCGAGGAAUGCGGCGCUGCCGGGGAAUGGUGUUGGGAAUUGUGGGGAGGUCUGCUUCGGCGACGUCGAUGGCUAGGAAGUGUCUACGUUAGCAUUCCCACCUGCUUCUAGAAGAAUGGAUACACUGAAUGACUUGCUUGCUGCAAGUGAUGUUAUAUCACUGCACUGUGCUUUGACUGAGGAAACGAUUCAAAUUAUGAACGCAGAUUGUCUACAACACAUAAAGCCUGGUAAUUAAGUGUUACAAAUAUUGAUUGAUUUUUUAUGCUUUGUUUGUUUGAUCUGUCUUGUUCUGAGGAUUCUACUGAUGCACAGAGUCAUUUCUUGUGAAUACUGGUAGUAGCCAACUGCUGGAUGAUUGUUCUAUAAAGCAAUUUUUGCUUGAUGUCACACUUGCAGGCUGUGCUAUAACAAUGGAUGGAAGCAUGGGUACGAGUAAUAAUAGUUUGAGUAUGAAUGUGAUAUACAGAGUUAGUUAAGAGGAUGACUUACUUCUUUUAUGAAGAACUGUCCUGAAAAUGCAAACUAUUUGCUUGAGUUUUUGCUAUGCAACCUACUUAAUGAAACGAGUCUUGUCUUCCCUUUUCAAGAAAUUAAGCAAUAUAGUUUAGUUUGUUUAGUUGCUUUUUACUGAGUUAAGCUCUAAAACUAUGUAUUAUUCGUGCAAAAUGUUCAUUUGUUAUAGAC